Molecule: ribosomal RNA, 301 nt
Filed under: uncultured bacterium
Lineage: Bacteria
Description: partial 16S ribosomal RNA
Rfam family: Bacterial small subunit ribosomal RNA
Source: RNAcentral
CAGUAGCCGCGGUAAUACGUAGGUGGCAAGCGUUGUCCGGAAUUAUUGGGCGUAAAGGGCUCGCAGGCGGUUUCUUAAGUCUGAUGUGAAAGCCCCCGGCUCAACCGGAGAGGGUCAUUGGAAACUGGGAAACUUGAGUGCAGAAGAGGAGAGUGGAAUUCCACGUGUAGCGGUGAAAUGCGUAGAGAUGUGGAGGAACACCAGUGGCGAAGGCGACUCUCUGGUCUGUAACUGACGCUGAGGAGCGAAAGCGUGGGGAGCGAACAGGAUUAGAUACCCCUGUAGUCCCUGUCUCUUAUAC